AUAUUAUAUAUCAAACCCUCUUUUGUUGAGUGGGUUUGGAUGUGGGGUUGCUGGCCUCUUUCGAAGGGGUCAGCUUCUCUGAAAUGCAUUAGCAGAACAACCUGUUUGUUCAUUGGUGUGAUAACUAUCUACGCUAUUGAACCAUGAAGGCAGUUCAGCUUCCUAACCGUCUUUGGACAACUUAUCAAUCUAU
Molecule: unclassified non-coding RNA, 193 nt
Filed under: Cortinarius pseudorubricosus
Lineage: Eukaryota; Fungi; Basidiomycota; Agaricomycetes; Agaricales; Cortinariaceae
Description: partial internal transcribed spacer 2
Source: RNAcentral